AGGAAAAGGUGGGAAAAGCUGCAAAAAAGGGCAAGAAAAGCUGAGAGAAAAAAAGUUGGAAAGCUGAGAGGAAAACUCAGAGAAAGCUGAGGAAAAGGGCAAGAAAAGCUGAGAGGAAAAGGCAGGAAUUGCUGACAGGAAAAGGUGUGAAAAGGAGAAAAAAAAGGGGCAAGAAAAGGUGAGAAGAAAAAGGGGGAAAAGCUGAGGAAAAGGGCAAGAAAAUAUGAUAGGAAAAGGUGGGAAAAGGGCAAGAAAAGGUGAGAGAAAAAAGGAAUCGCCGAGAGGAAAAAGCGGGGAUCGGUGAGGGGAAAAAAGGAGGAAAAACCGAGGAAAAAGAGCGCCGAGAGGCAGGAGGAGCCCGCCCGCCAUCGCUGCCCGGCGGCGCCAUGGAGGAGGCUGCGCAGGGGUCCGGCCAUGGUGGCGGUGAGGAGCUUCCCACCCCGCCGGCGCAGGGGGGACCGCGGGUGGAGGCGCUGCUGGCGCGGAUCCGGGCUCUGCACCAAGCCUGCCAGGCCCGGGCGCAGGAGCUGGCGGAGGCUCAGGGCCACAGCGAGGAGCUGCGGCGGCACCUGGAGCAGCUGGAGGAGCAGCUGGCGGCGCUCGAGGGGCUGUGGCAGCAGCAGCGCGGUGAGGCCGCGCUCCCAGCGCGCCCCGGGGCCGUGCCCCCC
RNAcentral lists this long non-coding RNA (668 nucleotides) under Anser cygnoides (Swan goose). Its description in RNAcentral is "lncRNA (ENSACDG00005007805.1)". Lineage: Eukaryota; Metazoa; Chordata; Aves; Anseriformes; Anatidae. The record is from RNAcentral.